AGACCCGAAACCCGGUGAUCUAGCCAUGGGCAGGUUGAAGGUUGGGUAACACUAACUGGAGGACCGAACCGACUAAUGUUGAAAAAUUAGCGGAUGACCUGUGGCUGGGGGUGAAAGGCCAAUCAAACCGGGAGAUAGCUGGUUCUCCCCGAAAGCUAUUUAGGUAGCGCCUCGUGAAUUCAUCUCCGGGGGUAGAGCACUGUUUCGGCUAGGGGGCCAUCCCGGCUUACCAACCCGAUGCAAACUGCGAAUACCGGAGAAUGUUAUCACGGGAGACACACGGCGGGUGCUAACGUCCGUCGUGAAGAGGGAAACAACCCAGACCGCCAGCUAAGGUCCCAAAGUCAUGGUUAAGUGGGAAACGAUGUGGGAAGGCCCAGACAGCCAGGAUGUUGGCUUAGAAGCAGCCAUCAUUUAAAGAAAGCGUAAUAGCUCACUGGUCGAGUCGGCCUGCGCGGAAGAUGUAACGGGGCUAAACCAUGCACCGAAGCUGCGGCAGCGAACGUAUCACCCAAGACAACUUUACGGAGUUGACGAUUGACGGAGCGAAGCGACGUCAAAGCGUUCAUUAAAGUCGAGUUGGCUUAGGGAUACGUUCGUUGGGUAGGGGAGCGUUCUGUAAGCCUGUGAAGGUGUGUCGUGAGGCAUGCUGGAGGUAUCAGAAGUGCGAAUGCUGACAUAAGUAACGAUAAAGCGGGUGAAAAGCCCGCUCGCCGGAAGACCAAGGGUUCCUGUCCAACGUUAAUCGGGGCAGGGUGAGUCGACCCCUAAGGCGAGGCCGAAAGGCGUAGUCGAUGGGAAACGGGUUAAUAUUCCCGUACUUGGUGUUACUGCGAAGGGGGGACGGAGAAGGCUAUGUUGGCCGGGCGACGGUUGUCCCGGUUUAAGCGUGUAGGUGUGUGUUCCAGGUAAAUCCGGUUCACUUUAACACUGAGGCGUGACGACGAGGCACUACGGUGCUGAAGCAACAAAUGCCCUGCUUCCAGGAAAAGCCUCUAAGCAUCAGGUAACACGAAAUCGUACCCCAAACCGACACAGGUGGUCAGGUAGAGAAUACCAAGGCGCUUGAGAGAACUCGGGUGAAGGAACUAGGCAAAAUGGUGCCGUAACUUCGGGAGAAGGCACGCUGACACGUAGGUGAAGUGAUUUACUCAUGGAGCUGAAGUCAGUCGAAGAUACCAGCUGGCUGCAACUGUUUAUUAAAAACACAGCACUGUGCAAACACGAAAGUGGACGUAUACGGUGUGACGCCUGCCCGGUGCCGGAAGGUUAAUUGAUGGGGUCAGCGCAAGCGAAGCUCCUGAUCGAAGCCCCGGUAAACGGCGGCCGUAACUAUAACGGUCCUAAGGUAGCGAAAUUCCUUGUCGGGUAAGUUCCGACCUGCACGAAUGGCGUAAUGAUGGCCAGGCUGUCUCCACCCGAGACUCAGUGAAAUUGAACUCGCUGUGAAGAUGCAGUGUACCCGCGGCAAGACGGAAAGACCCCGUGAACCUUUACUAUAGCUUGACACUGAACAUUGAGCCUUGAUGUGUAGGAUAGGUGGGAGGCUUUGAAGUGUGGACGCCAGUCUGCAUGGAGCCGACCUUGAAAUACCACCCUUUAAUGUUUGAUGUUCUAACGUGGACCCGUAAUCCGGGUUGCGGACAGUGUCUGGUGGGUAGUUUGACUGGGGCGGUCUCCUCCUAAAGAGUAACGGAGGAGCACGAAGGUUGGCUAAUCCUGGUCGGACAUCAGGAGGUUAGUGCAAUGGCAUAAGCCAGCUUGACUGCGAGCGUGACGGCGCGAGCAGGUGCGAAAGCAGGUCAUAGUGAUCCGGUGGUUCUGAAUGGAAGGGCCAUCGCUCAACGGAUAAAAGGUACUCCGGGGAUAACAGGCUGAUACCGCCCAAGAGUUCAUAUCGACGGCGGUGUUUGGCACCUCGAUGUCGGCUCAUCACAUCCUGGGGCUGAAGUAGGUCCCAAGGGUAUGGCUGUUCGCCAUUUAAAGUGGUACGCGAGCUGGGUUUAGAACGUCGUGAGACAGUUCGGUCCCUAUCUGCCGUGGGCGCUGGAGAACUGAGGGGGGCUGCUCCUAGUACGAGAGGACCGGAGUGGACGCAUCACUGGUGUUCGGGUUGUCAUGCCAAUGGCACUGCCCGGUAGCUAAAUGCGGAAGAGAUAAGUGCUGAAAGCAUCUAAGCACGAAACUUGCCCCGAGAUGAGUUCUCCCUGAGACUUAGAGUCUCCUGAA
RNAcentral lists this ribosomal RNA (2229 nucleotides) under Salmonella enterica subsp. enterica serovar Typhimurium. RNAcentral describes it as "partial 23S ribosomal RNA". It matches the Rfam family "Bacterial large subunit ribosomal RNA", at positions 711 to 2832 of the family's 2925-position model. Lineage: Bacteria; Pseudomonadati; Pseudomonadota; Gammaproteobacteria; Enterobacterales; Enterobacteriaceae. The record is from RNAcentral.